GGGUUGUGAGGUUAAGCGACUAAGCGUACACGGUGGAUGCCCUGGCAGUCAGAGGCGAUGAAGGACGUGCUAAUCUGCGAAAAGCGCCGGCGAGGUGAUAUGAACCUUUGACCCGGCGAUGUCCGAAUGGGGAAACCCAGUGUGAUUCGUCACACUAUCGUUAACUGAAUACAUAGGUUAACGAGGCGAACCGGGGGAACUGAAACAUCUAAGUACCCCGAGGAAAAGAAAUCAACCGAGAUUCCCCCAGUAGCGGCGAGCGAACGGGGAGCAGCCCAGAGUCUGAAUCAGCUUGUGUGUUAGUGGAAGCGUCUGGAAAGUCGCACGGUACAGGGUGACAGUCCCGUACACGAAAGCACACAGGCUGUGAACUCGAAGAGUAGGGCGGGACACGUGGUAUCCUGUCUGAAUAUGGGGGGACCAUCCUCCAAGGCUAAAUACUCCUGACUGACCGAUAGUGAACCAGUACCGUGAGGGAAAGGCGAAAAGAACCCCGGCGAGGGGAGUGAAAAAGAACCUGAAACCGUGUACGUACAAGCAGUGGGAGCCUCUUUUAUGGGGUGACUGCGUACCUUUUGUAUAAUGGGUCAGCGACUUAUAUUCUGUAGCAAGGUUAACCGUAUAGGGGAGCCGAAGGGAAACCGAGUCUUAACUGGGCGUUAAGUUGCAGGGUAUAGACCCGAAACCCGGUGAUCUAGCCAUGGGCAGGUUGAAGGUUGGGUAACACUAACUGGAGGACCGAACCGACUAAUGUUGAAAAAUUAGCGGAUGACUUGUGGCUGGGGGUGAAAGGCCAAUCAAACCGGGAGAUAGCUGGUUCUCCCCGAAAGCUAUUUAGGUAGCGCCUCGUGAACUCAUCUUCGGGGGUAGAGCACUGUUUCGGCUAGGGGGCCAUCCCGGCUUACCAACCCGAUGCAAACUACGAAUACCGAAGAAUGUUAUCACGGGAGACACACGGCGGGUGCUAACGUCCGUCGUGAAGAGGGAAACAACCCAGACCGCCAGCUAAGGUCCCAAAGUCAUGGUUAAGUGGGAAACGAUGUGGGAAGGCACAGACAGCCAGGAUGUUGGCUUAGAAGCAGCCAUCAUUUAAAGAAAGCGUAAUAGCUCACUGGUCGAGUCGGCCUGCGCGGAAGAUGUAACGGGGCUAAACCAUGCACCGAAGCUGCGGCAGCGACGCUUAUGCGUUGUUGGGUAGGGGAGCGUUCUGUAAGCCGUUGAAGGUGUCCUGUGAGGGGUGCUGGAGGUAUCAGAAGUGCGAAUGCUGACAUAAGUAACGAUAAAGCGGGUGAAAAGCCCGCUCGCCGGAAGACCAAGGGUUCCUGUCCAACGUUAAUCGGGGCAGGGUGAGUCGACCCCUAAGGCGAGGCCGAAAGGCGUAGUCGAUGGGAAACAGGUUAAUAUUCCUGUACUUGGUGUUACUGCGAAGGGGGGACGGAGAAGGCUAUGUUAGCCGGGCGACGGUUGUCCCGGUUUAAGCAUGUAGGCGGAGGUUCCAGGUAAAUCCGGUUCCUUGUUAACGCUGAGGUGUGAUGACGAGGCACUACGGUGCUGAAGUAACAAAUGCCCUGCUUCCAGGAAAAGCCUCUAAGCAUCAGGUAACAUCAAAUCGUACCCCAAACCGACACAGGUGGUCAGGUAGAGAAUACCAAGGCGCUUGAGAGAACUCGGGUGAAGGAACUAGGCAAAAUGGUGCCGUAACUUCGGGAGAAGGCACGCUGAUAUGUAGGUGAAGCCCCUGCGGGUGGAGCUGAAAUCAGUCGAAGAUACCAGCUGGCUGCAACUGUUUAUUAAAAACACAGCACUGUGCAAACACGAAAGUGGACGUAUACGGUGUGACGCCUGCCCGGUGCCGGAAGGUUAAUUGAUGGGGUUAGCGGUAACGCGAAGCUCUUGAUCGAAGCCCCGGUAAACGGCGGCCGUAACUAUAACGGUCCUAAGGUAGCGAAAUUCCUUGUCGGGUAAGUUCCGACCUGCACGAAUGGCGUAAUGAUGGCCAGGCUGUCUCCACCCGAGACUCAGUGAAAUUGAACUCGCUGUGAAGAUGCAGUGUACCCGCGGCAAGACGGAAAGACCCCGUGAACCUUUACUAUAGCUUGACACUGAACACUGGUCCUUGAUGUGUAGGAUAGGUGGGAGGCUUUGAAGCGUGGACGCCAGUCUGCGUGGAGCCAACCUUGAAAUACCACCCUUUAAUGGCUGGUGUUCUAACGUAGACCCGUGAUCCGGGUUGCGGACAGUGUCUGGUGGGUAGUUUGACUGGGGCGGUCUCCUCCCAAAGAGUAACGGAGGAGCACGAAGGUUAGCUAAUCCUGGUCGGACAUCAGGAGGUUAGUGCAAUGGCAUAAGCUAGCUUGACUGCGAGAGUGACGGCUCGAGCAGGUGCGAAAGCAGGUCAUAGUGAUCCGGUGGUUCUGAAUGGAAGGGCCAUCGCUCAACGGAUAAAAGGUACUCCGGGGAUAACAGGCUGAUACCGCCCAAGAGUUCAUAUCGACGGCGGUGUUUGGCACCUCGAUGUCGGCUCAUCACAUCCUGGGGCUGAAGUAGGUCCCAAGGGUAUGGCUGUUCGCCAUUUAAAGUGGUACGCGAGCUGGGUUUAGAACGUCGUGAGACAGUUCGGUCCCUAUCUGCCGUGGGCGCUGGAGAAUUGAGGGGGGCUGCUCCUAGUACGAGAGGACCGGAGUGGACGCAUCACUGGUGUUCGGGUUGUCAUGCCAAUGGCACUGCCCGGUAGCUAAAUGCGGAAGAGAUAAGUGCUGAAAGCAUCUAAGCACGAAACUUGCCCCGAGAUGAGUUCUCCCUGAGACUUUAAGUCUCCUGAAGGAACGUUGAAGACUACGACGUUGAUAGGUCGGGUGUGUAAGCGCAGCGAUGCGUUGAGCUAACCGAUACUAAUGAACCGUGAGGCUUAACCUUACAACGCCGAAGGUGUUU
Molecule: ribosomal RNA, 2934 nt
Filed under: Enterobacter sp. RHBSTW-00974
Lineage: Bacteria; Pseudomonadati; Pseudomonadota; Gammaproteobacteria; Enterobacterales; Enterobacteriaceae
Description: 23S ribosomal RNA
Rfam family: Bacterial large subunit ribosomal RNA
Source: RNAcentral